This is a non-coding RNA of Procambarus clarkii (red swamp crayfish), 331 nucleotides long. Lineage: Eukaryota; Metazoa; Arthropoda; Malacostraca; Decapoda; Cambaridae. The record is from RefSeq and is a predicted model, not a curated record.
CGGCUGAGUGUUUGGCCUCGGUGGGUGUGUUGGCUCUGGCCGGUGUGACGAGCGGCGGGGACAAGCUCUCCACGGAGGACAUACGGGACAUAUGCUGCAAAGCUGACGCACUGAUUGCAUUUUCAACUUCACCACCUCAGCCACCCACACCACCAACCUGACAGUGACGACUCCUACGGCCUACAGUACGUAUAAGGUUGAAGAAGGCAAUAUUGUUACCCACGGUGAAGGUGGAGUAGUCGAGGUCUCCAGACCUGAAGUACAUGAUGUUGUGCACCAGCUGCUUAGUGGAGGUGGUGCCUCCGUCAGCCUGGGCCUGCAGCACCUCCAC